Molecule: unclassified non-coding RNA, 392 nt
Filed under: soil metagenome
Description: partial contains 5.8S ribosomal RNA, internal transcribed spacer 2, and large subunit ribosomal RNA
Rfam family: 5.8S ribosomal RNA (bases 1-122)
Source: RNAcentral
GAUGAAGAACGUAGCGAAAUGCGAUACUUGGUGUGAAUUACAGAAUCCCGUGAACCAUCGAGUCUUUGAACGCAAGUUGCGCCCGAAGCCAUUAGGCCGAGGGCACGCCUGCCUGGGCGUCACACGUCGUUGCCCCCCCCAUCUACUCCUUCGGGAUUGCGGGGGGCGGAUGAUGGCCUCCCGUGCGCCUCGCCGCGCGGUUGGCAUAAAUGCCAAGUCCUCGGCGACGCACGCCACGACAAUCGGUGGUUGCGAAACCUCGGUUGCCCGUCGUGUGCGGUCGUCGCGCAUCGAGGGCUCGAAAAAAUUGCCGAGUUCCGGCUCGGCUUUCAACGCGACCCCAGGUCAGGCGGGGUUACCCGCUGAAUUUAAGCAUAUCAAUAAGCGGAGGA